GCUUUGUAUGUACCUUGGUCAGUAAAGCAUGAGACUCUUAAUCUCAGGGUUGUGGGUUUGAACCCCCACAUUGGGCA
Non-coding RNA from Podarcis lilfordi (Lilford's wall lizard), 77 nucleotides. The record is from the annotation of a GenBank genome assembly. NCBI's taxonomy places the organism in Eukaryota, Metazoa, Chordata, Lepidosauria, Squamata, Lacertidae.